Molecule: small nucleolar RNA, 109 nt
Organism: Arachis stenosperma
Lineage: Eukaryota; Viridiplantae; Streptophyta; Magnoliopsida; Fabales; Fabaceae
Source: RefSeq, a predicted model, not a curated record
AAAGCAUGUCAGGGGGACAUCUUUUGAUCAAUUGUUUGUAUCUUUCCCAAGCUUCACAGAGGGAUUCACCUUCUCUUUGUUUGAAGGUUUGAACUUUCAUUCUAAUUUU